UAAUAAGAAAAUAUAAAGGAUCCCAAUUGGUUACAAUAUUCUCCCUAACAAUGAAUUUAACUAUUCAUAAUGAAAGAAAAAAACAAUCAAUUGUCUUAGAAUACAUCACCGAAUUUGUAGUAAAGAUGUAUAUGAAAAAGUAGAAUUCUUGCAACCAAGAUCUUCUUCCUUUUCCAAUUAAUGCGUAAACUUUUAAUUGCUUGAUGUUUUCCUCCUAUGAAUACUUCUUUUGAUUUUUCAGUUGUAUUCUCUUGCCUCUCAAAGCGUGAAAAAAUUCCCCUCCAAAAUGUGAGAAUUUUGUAUUUAUAGGUGGCCCCUCGUUUGUGUAGAAAGUAGGGUUUUUAUGGACUUUAAGACGGUCCAAAAAUGUGCCCUAGACGACCCCGACAUUUAAGCAUUAGGGGUCAGCGCUUAAGCGCCGUGACAAAUCACACGUAGCUCCUGAGCGCUACUCAUUCUCUGCUCCAAUUCUUCGUUUUUUCACAUUUCGUAGCGCUUGACGCUACAAGCGUUGGGCGCUGCCUUUCUGCUCCAAUUUUUUUAUUUUUUUCUUCGUCCACUUUAAUACCUCUUUUUGCAUCACCUUUCCUAAUCUUCAAAACAACACUAACAAACCCAUCAAAAACGUUCUGCACUCAAAACGUUCAUGAGUGAAACAAACUCAUCAAGCACCAUCGAAAAUAUCUCCCAACAAUUAAACCAUAAUGACAAUUUUUCCUAUCAUUUUCUUAGAUAAGGUCAAAAUAAAAGUCCCAAUUAGCAAAUAGAAAUUACAUUGAUUAAAAAGGUAGAAAAAAAGGAUGAAAAAUCAAUUGAAGCAAGAAAUGACCUGAUUAUCCCACAAAGUUGCAACCAGCACAUUUACCUUGGGACCGAGACAAAGGAUUGACACUCAAACACUUGGAGGUUGCAUAGCCUUUUUUUCACACCCGCAAAAUCAAUCAAUUAUGAAGCCCACCAAAUGGAAUGAAAUCCCCAAAUAAAUUCAAUAUUUAAAUAGUCUAAAUUGGAUUCAAGAAGCCCAAUAAACAAAUUAAAUACAGUACAAUAUAAUUGAAAAUUACCUCAGUGGAACGAUUGGGAUUUGGAUUUUCCAUAGAAAUUAAAUAGAGUAUAAAAUAGCAGAUAUUAUGUGAGAGAGAUUAUUUGUCGUCAAAUGAAGUUGCCGUCGAGAUAUUCUAGUGGCUACUUUUACGGCGCAUCUUCUUCGGAUGAGCAGACUACUGACUACACGAAGGUGCUUUCACAACAUUUUAUUGUGUUUCUCUAAGGGUACCGCAAGGACGUUAACUUUGAGGCUUUGACACAUCUCCAAUCAAUGUUUAGAGGCGUUGCUGGAGCUUGAUGACUGGGAGUUCGCCGACGGUGCAAAAUGAUCUGAGGGUUAAGGUCCGAGGUGAGACGAUUUUAUUAGAAGCAUGAACAUAAUUGUAGAGUUUUUGUAAUUUAAUAUAUUUAAUGUUUUUUAAUUAAUAAGCAAGGCUUGUUGAAAUUAAAUUGGGGUUGAACCUUUU
Molecule: long non-coding RNA, 1514 nt
Filed under: Olea europaea subsp. europaea
Lineage: Eukaryota; Viridiplantae; Streptophyta; Magnoliopsida; Lamiales; Oleaceae
Source: RNAcentral